CCUCUCCAAACAUAGCGCUUAUGGUUGUGACCAUAAAGCUCUAUUUUGGUCUCGUCACUCCAAAUUACAGUGUGCCAGAAGCUGUGAGGCGUGUCAAGGUGUUGUCGGGCAUAUUGUAACUGGGCUUUUUUGUGGCAUUGGUGCAGUAAAGGCUUCUUUCUGGCAACUCGACCAUGCAGCUCAUUUUUGUUCAAGUAUCAUUGUAUUGUGCUCCUUGAAACAAGCACACCGUCUUUUUCCAGAGCAGCCUGUAUCUCUCCUGAGGUUUCCUGUGGGUUUUUCUUUGUAUCCUGAACAAUUCUUCUGGCAGUUGUGGCUGAAAUCUUUCUUGGUCUACCUGACCUUGGCUUGGUAUCAAGGGAUCCCUGAAUUUUCCACUUCUUAGUACGUGAUUGAACAGUACUGACUGGCAUUUUCAAGGCUUUGGAUAUUGUUUUAUAUCCUUUUCCAUCUUUAUAAAGUUCCAUUACCUUGUUACGCAGGUCUUUUGACAGUUCUUUUCUGCUCCCCAUGGCUCAGUAUCUAGCCUGCUCAGUGCAUCCACGUGAGAGCUAACAAACUCAUUGACUAUUUAUACACAGACACUAAUUGCAAUUUAAAAAGCCACAGGUGUGGGAAAUUAACCUUUAAUUGCCAUUUAAACCUGUAUGUGUCACCUUGUGUGUCUGUAACAAGGCCAAACAUUCAAGGGUAUGUAAACUUUUGAUCAGGGCCAUUUGGGUGAUUUCUGUUAUCGUUAUGAUUUAAAAAGGAGCCAAACAACUAUGUGAUAAUAAAUGGCUUCAUAUGAUCACUGUCCUUAAAUAAAAGGCACGAUCAGUCAUAUUUUCAAAAUCAAUGCCAAAAUUCCACAAUUUCUGCCAGGGUAUGCAAACUUUUGAGCACAACUGUAAAUGAUAAAAGCCUGAGUAAUCUUUCCAACUACUGAUGGCCUGUGGUAACACUGAAUCCCUCAUCACGACUAUGACAUGUUCUUAUUAUAAGAUGUUCUCUUAUUAUAUUAAUAUAAUGAAACUACAAUAUCCUAGAGGUAGCUUUAUCACACUGGCUUUAAAUGCAGAAUUUAGUAGUGUAUGUUUAUUGGUUCUGAUAUCUAAGAUUCAAGGCAGAAUUCUUUCAUAAAAAUUUCAUAUUUGUAAAACGCACACCAAAAAUAGACAAAAGCAGUUUUAUUAAAAUAAAAGAAUGGCCUUAUGACUUACAGUACUGUGUGUAAAAGUUUUAGGCAGUUAUGAAAAAUGCUGUAAAGUGAGGAUGUUUUCAAAAAUAAUCCCAUGCAGUAAACAUAAAGCAAAAAAAAAAAAAAAUUCAUAUUUGGUGUGACCACCCUAUGCCUUUUAAACAGCACCAACUCUCCUAGGUACACUUGCGCACCGUUUUUCAAGGUUGUUCCAAGCAUCUUGGAGUACUUGCCACAGUUCUAUGUAUUUAGGCUGUCUCAAUUGCUUCUGUCGCUUCAUGUAAUCCCAGACUGACUCCAUGAUUUUGAGAUCUGGGCCAUAACAUCUGUUUCAGGACUCCUUGUUCUACAUCUAAUAUAUUCUGUUUGCAAAAGGAAUAUUUGGAAAUCUAAAACACUAAUGCAGAAGAUAAAAAAUGUCUUAAGACAGAUGUUUUUGGAAACAUGUAAUGUGCCUAAGAAUUUUGAACAGUACUGUACAAGUAAACCAACAGUUCAGUUUAACUGCAAGAAAGUUGUGCCCCUGUAAGAAACAGUGCCCCCUUUUGGGCUUUAAAUGGAUUUUAUCUUUUUGCACCGUCAAACCAUAAGUACGUUAAUAACAAUUAGUUUGACAGAAAUUACAGAACACAUGUUUGUCAAAUGAAUUCCUCAGAAAGAAAUGUUUUUAUGAAAUUUGUUGUGAUAUACUUAAGUGUAAUACAAUUCUUUAACAUAUGCCUAUCUAUAACGAGGCCAUGUACAGCCUUAUACCCCUCAAACUCUGGUACAUUCUUGGGCUUCCGCCUUUAAUUAGUACACACUUAAAUUUAAAAGCUCACUAUUCACACAUACUGUGGACGAAUGGCAAAACAUUAGUCUCAUUUUUCAGAAAAAAACCCAAAUUAAAAAAAUAUUCUCCAAUUAUUCAUAAAUAAUAUUGUAUGUGUUUAUAAUCUUAUGAUAAACAAGGUUUAAUAAUAAUAAAAAAAUGUUUUCUGUUA
Myxocyprinus asiaticus (Chinese sucker) is the source of this 2163-nucleotide long non-coding RNA. RefSeq lists it as uncharacterized. The transcript has 2 exons. Lineage: Eukaryota; Metazoa; Chordata; Actinopteri; Cypriniformes; Catostomidae. The record is from RefSeq and is a predicted model, not a curated record.